GUAUCUUCGGAUAUGAGUAGAGCGGCGGACGGGUGAGUAACGCGUAGGAAUCUACCUAGUAGAAGGGGAUAGCCCGGGGAAACCCGGAUUAAUACCGUAUACCUCCUUCGGGAGAAAGAAGGCCUCUCUUUGAAGCUUUCGCUACUAGAUGAGCCUGCGUAAGAUUAGCUUGUUGGUGAGGUAAAGGCUCACCAAGGCGACGAUCUUUAGCUGGUCUGAGAGGACGAUCAGCCACAUUGGGACUGAGACACGGCCCAGACUCCUACGGGAGGCAGCAGUGGGGAAUAUUGGACAAUGGGCGCAAGCCUGAUCCAGCCAUACCGCGUGUGUGAAGAAGGCCUUCGGGUUGUAAAGCACUUUAAGCAGGGAGAAAAAGUUAUAAGUUAAUACCUUAUAACCCUGAUGUUACCUGCAGAAUAAGCACCGGCUAAUUCCGUGCCAGCAGCCGCGGUAAUACGGAAGGUGCAAGCGUUAAUCGGAAUUACUGGGCGUAAAGCGCGCGUAGGUGGUUUGUUAAGUUGGAUGUGAAAGCCCUGGGCUUAACCUAGGAACUGCAUCCAAAACUAACUCACUAGAGUACGAUAGAGGGAGGUAGAAUUCAUAGUGUAGCGGUGGAAUGCGUAGAUAUUAUGAAGAAUACCAGUGGCGAAGGCGGCCUCCUGGAUCUGUACUGACACUGAGGUGCGAAAGCGUGGGUAGCGAACAGGAUUAGAUACCCUGGUAGUCCACGCCGUAAACGAUGACAACUAGCCGUUGGGAGACAA
This 764-nucleotide ribosomal RNA is filed under the name gamma proteobacterium SCGC AAA076-B10. RNAcentral's name for it is "bacterial SSU rRNA". It matches the Rfam family "Bacterial small subunit ribosomal RNA", at positions 74 to 833 of the family's 1533-position model. Lineage: Bacteria; Pseudomonadati; Pseudomonadota; Gammaproteobacteria. The record is from RNAcentral.